AGAUUCAAUAUUGUUGGUAACAACAAUGUGCACUUCUCAUUUAGUAAGACGUUGUGAUCCAUUAGAAAUUGAUUGUACCAACAAUUAUGAGGUUAUCAAUAGACUGAUGUAAAGUUCAUCAAUAUAAAUGACUUGAUCUUUAAUGGUUGGGUGUAUUAUAUGGUGAGUGCGUCAUGUACUGCUUAUAACUGUCUGAUGGAUUUUAAAGGCUAUAAUAUUGAUGUUCGCAUCACCCUGAUUAUAUGCCCGAUCAACAACGGUUAAAUUUGGGAUACCUUUUGGACCCGUCUUGAAACACGGACCAAGGAGUCUAUCUAUUGCGCGAGUAAAUGGSUAUAUGAAACCUAUUUGC
Molecule: ribosomal RNA, 352 nt
Filed under: Paratrichocladius bifenestrus
Lineage: Eukaryota; Metazoa; Arthropoda; Insecta; Diptera; Chironomidae
Description: eukaryotic LSU rRNA
Source: RNAcentral